This is a long non-coding RNA of Plodia interpunctella (Indianmeal moth), 365 nucleotides long. RefSeq lists it as uncharacterized. NCBI's taxonomy places the organism in Eukaryota, Metazoa, Arthropoda, Insecta, Lepidoptera, Pyralidae. The record is from RefSeq and is a predicted model, not a curated record. The transcript has 2 exons.
AGUUCCGCGCGAUGUGGCCCGUCUUGUUGCAGUUGUAGCACGACGGCUCGUCCGGGCUCUGCGCGCACUCGCGCGCUAUGUGCCCCGUGCCGUUACAUCUGACAAAACGGAAAUUCAAUUGUUCAUUUUCAUCCUACACAGAGAUACGGAACCCUAUGCAUGAAGCAGGGAAUACAAGAGGUCACCUGUAGCAACGGUCGGCCUCCUCCUUGCAGUCCCUCGCGAAGUGCCCCGUGCGGUUGCAUUUGAAGCACUUCUCGCGCUGGCGACUGAAGCCAGAGUCGCGCCCGGCGACUCCGCCCUGCGUGCACUCGCGGGCGAAGUGCCCCGUCCGGUUGCACUUGUAGCAUACACUCGAACUCAUC